AUUGAACGCUGGCGGCAGGCCUAACACAUGCAAGUCGAAUGGUAACAGGAAACAGCUUGCUGUUUCGCUGACGAGUGGCGGACGGGUGAGUAAUGUCUGGGAAACUGCCUGAUGGAGGGGGAUAACUACUGGAAACGGUAGCUAAUACCGCAUAACGUCGCAAGACCAAAGAGGGGGACCUUCGGGCCUCUUGCCAUCAGAUGUGCCCAGAUGGGAUUAGCUAGUAGGUGGGGUAACGGCUCACCUAGGCGACGAUCCCUAGCUGGUCUGAGAGGAUGACCAGCCACACUGGAACUGAGACACGGUCCAGACUCCUACGGGAGGCAGCAGUGGGGAAUAUUGCACAAAGGGCGCAGGCCUGAUGCAGCCAUGCCGCGUGUAUGAAGAAGGCCUUCGGGUUGUAAAGUACUUUCAGCGGGGAGGAAGGGAGUAAAGUUAAUACCUUUGCUCAUUGACGUUACCCGCAGAAGAAGCACCGGCUAACUCCGUG
This 490-nucleotide ribosomal RNA is filed under the name uncultured bacterium. RNAcentral describes it as "partial 16S ribosomal RNA". It matches the Rfam family "Bacterial small subunit ribosomal RNA", at positions 30 to 507 of the family's 1533-position model. The record is from RNAcentral.